UGAGCUCGCGGCCUAUCAGCUAGUUGGUGAGGUAAUGGCUCACCAAGGCGACGACGGGUAGCCGGCCUGAGAGGGUGACCGGCCACACUGGAACUGAGACACGGUCCAGACUCCUACGGGAGGCAGCAGUGGGGAAUAUUGCACAAUGGGCGAAAGCCUGAUGCAGCAACGCCGCGUGAGGGAUGAAGGCCUUCGGGUUGUAAACCUCUUUUAGCAGGGAAGAAGCGAAAGUGACGGUACCUGCAGAAAAAGCACCGGCUAACUACGUGCCAGCAGCCGCGG
Molecule: ribosomal RNA, 282 nt
Filed under: Actinomycetes bacterium
Lineage: Bacteria; Bacillati; Actinomycetota; Actinomycetes
Description: Actinobacteria bacterium partial 16S ribosomal RNA
Rfam family: Bacterial small subunit ribosomal RNA
Source: RNAcentral